RNAcentral lists this ribosomal RNA (200 nucleotides) under uncultured bacterium. RNAcentral's name for it is "partial 16S ribosomal RNA". It matches the Rfam family "Bacterial small subunit ribosomal RNA", at positions 8 to 221 of the family's 1533-position model. The record is from RNAcentral.
AGAGUUUGAUCAUGGCUCAGAACGAACGCUGGCGGCAUGCCUAAUACAUGCAAGUCGAACGGUGCCUUCGGGCAUAGUGGCGCACGGGUGAGUAUCGCGUGGGAACCUGCCUCUUGGUUCGGAACAACCUCGGGAAACUGAGGCUAAUACCGGAUACGACGGUUGGCUGUGGUGGCCGGCUGGGAAAGAUUUAUCGCCGA